GAGCGGCGUACGGGUGCGUAACACGUGUGCAACCUGCCUUUAUCUGGGAGAUACCCCUCCGAAAGGGGGAUUAAUAUUCCAUAAUAUCUCGUUGGGCAUCCAACGAGAUUGAAAGCUCCGGCGGAUAGAGAUGGGCACGCGCAAGAUUAGAUAGUUGGUGAGGUAACGGCUCACCAAGUCUGCGAUCUUUAUGGGGCCUGAGAGGGUGAUCCCCCACACUGGUACUGAGACACGGACCACACUCCUACGGGAGGCAGCAGUGAGGAAUAUUGGACAAUGGGUGCAAGCCUGAUCCAGCCGUCCCGCGUGAAGGAUUAAGGUCCUAUGGAUUGUAAACUUCUUUUAUACAGGGAUAAACCUCUCCUCGUGAGGAGAGCUGAAGGUACUGUAUGAAUAAGCACCGGCUAACUCCGUGCC
Molecule: ribosomal RNA, 417 nt
Filed under: uncultured bacterium
Lineage: Bacteria
Description: bacterial SSU rRNA
Rfam family: Bacterial small subunit ribosomal RNA
Source: RNAcentral